UACGAAGGGGGCUAGCGUUGCUCGGAAUCACUGGGCGUAAAGCGCACGUAGGCGGGCUCUUAAGUCGGUGGUGAAAUCCUGGAGCUCAACUCCAGAACUGCCUCCGAUACUGAGGGUCUUCGAGUUCGGGAGAGGUGAGUGGAACUGCGAGUGUAGAGGUGAAAUUCGUAGAUAUUCGCAAGAACACCAGUGGCGAAGGCGGCUCACUGGCCCGAUACUGACGCUGAGGUGCGAAAGCGUGGGGAGCAAACAGG
RNAcentral lists this ribosomal RNA (254 nucleotides) under uncultured bacterium. RNAcentral's name for it is "partial 16S ribosomal RNA". It matches the Rfam family "Bacterial small subunit ribosomal RNA", at positions 524 to 776 of the family's 1533-position model. The record is from RNAcentral.